CAGGCCUAACACAUGCAAGUCGAGCGGAGUCAAUGAGAAGCUUGCUUCUUUGAGACUUAGCGGCGGACGGGUGAGUAACACGUAGGCAACCUGCCCAUAAGACUGGGAUAACUACCGGAAACGGUAGCUAAUACCGGAUAGGUUCUUUUCUCGCAUGAGAGAAGAAAGAAAGACGGAGCAAUCUGUCACUUAUGGAUGGGCCUGCGGCGCAUUAGCUAGUUGGUGGGGUAAAGGCCUACCAAGGCGACGAUGCGUAGCCGACCUGAGAGGGUGAUCGGCCACACUGGGACUGAGACACGGCCCAGACUCCUACGGGAGGCAGCAGUAGGGAAUCUUCCGCAAUGGACGAAAGUCUGACGGAGCAACGCCGCGUGAGUGAUGAAGGUUUUCGGAUCGUAAAGCUCUGUUGCCAGGGAAGAACG
RNAcentral lists this ribosomal RNA (422 nucleotides) under Paenibacillus sp. Lgg15.12. Its description in RNAcentral is "bacterial SSU rRNA". It matches the Rfam family "Bacterial small subunit ribosomal RNA", at positions 43 to 451 of the family's 1533-position model. Lineage: Bacteria; Bacillati; Bacillota; Bacilli; Caryophanales; Paenibacillaceae. The record is from RNAcentral.